Molecule: ribosomal RNA, 504 nt
Filed under: Russula sp.
Lineage: Eukaryota; Fungi; Basidiomycota; Agaricomycetes; Russulales; Russulaceae
Description: SSU rRNA
Rfam family: Bacterial small subunit ribosomal RNA
Source: RNAcentral
GCUACUGAAUCAUUAUAAAAAUUGAUAACAUAAGAGAAAAUAAUGAUAUUAUCUUAUUAUUAGUGUCGUCCAAAACUGGUGCCAGAAGACUCGGUAAGGCCAGAGACACAAACGUUAAUCGUCUUAAUCAGGCGUAAAGGGUUUGUAGGCGGCUUUUAAUUAAUUAAAAUAUAAAGUUAAGAAUAAAAGCUAGAAUCAAAUAGAGGAUAUAUAAAAAAUGCUUAAAGUAGGUCUGAUAUCCUUAAAUAGUAAGUAGAAUAUUAAAGGCGAAAGCUUUUUUCCAUUAAUGAUUGACGCUCAGAAACGAAGGUGAGGAUAGGAAAUAGGAUUAGAUACCCAAAAUACCCCUCUCUGUCAACGAUGAAUGGUAAUUAUUAAUAAUAAAUUUAUUAAUGAUAAUGUUAACACGAUAACCAUUCCGCCUUGUGAGUACAACUGCAAAGUUGAAAACAAAAAAAUUAGUCGGUUUCGGAGCAAACGAAGUGAAGCAUGUUAUUUAAUCAA